AAGUCGUAACAAGGUUUCUGUAGGUGAACCUGCAGAAGGAUCAUUAGUGAAGAUUUGGGCAGGCCAUACGGACGCCAAAAAGUGUCCCUGGCCGCCUACACCCACUAUACAUCCACAAACCCGUGUGCACUGUCUUGGAGAAAGGCUUCAGAUAAGUUUUUUGUGGCCUCUCUUGGGGUCUUUCUUCGCUACAAACUCGAAUGGUUAGUAUGAACGUGGAACUUGGUUGGACCGUCACUGGCCAACAAACUAUACACAACUUUCGACAACGGAUCUCUUGGUUCUCC
RNAcentral lists this unclassified non-coding RNA (287 nucleotides) under Malassezia restricta. RNAcentral's name for it is "partial internal transcribed spacer region". The stretch from base 1 to 46 matches the Rfam family "Eukaryotic small subunit ribosomal RNA", at positions 1786 to 1831 of the family's 1831-position model. Lineage: Eukaryota; Fungi; Basidiomycota; Malasseziomycetes; Malasseziales; Malasseziaceae. The record is from RNAcentral.